RNAcentral lists this ribosomal RNA (253 nucleotides) under uncultured bacterium. RNAcentral's name for it is "partial 16S ribosomal RNA". It matches the Rfam family "Bacterial small subunit ribosomal RNA", at positions 524 to 776 of the family's 1533-position model. The record is from RNAcentral.
UACGAAGGGUGCAAACGUUGCUCGGAAUCAUUGGGCGUAAAGCGCACGUAGGCGGCUCCAAAAGUCGGAUGUGAAAUCCCUGGGCUCAACCGAGGAAGUGCAUCCGAAACUGCGGAGCUUGAGUAUGGAAGAGGGUCGCGGAAUUCCCGGUGUAGAGGUGAAAUUCGUAGAUAUCGGGAGGAACACCAGUGGCGAAGGCGGCGACCUGGGCCAAUACUGACGCCGAGGUGCGAAAGCGUGGGGAGCAAACAGG